AGCUUGAAACUCUCCACCAUCCUAAGCGACGCUGUUCAGAGGAGCCGUCGCGGAGCCCGGGGGCUCCGGGCGCUCAGCUCGGCCGUUGGUGGGCAGGGCCGGAGCCGAGGCGCCGGAUGUGCGGAGCGGCGGAGACGCCGUGUCGGGUCACGCUGCGAGCGGCCGCGGCCUCCGGGCCAACGGGAGCAGCCCGCACACCGACAGGCAGCAGCGGGGAAGCCGAAGGGAGCGCGGGCAGCAGGCAUCUCUGUCCCUGUGCACAAAGUAUGGGAAUGGGACAUCAUCCAGAGGUGCAACAGCAGUGGAGAUCUCACCUUGAGCGUGAUGCCAGCACAGCCAGCAUCCAAACAUCAAGCAUCCCAACUCCAGUCCCUGAGAGGUGCUGAGACAGGUGGCUUUAAAUUGAUUCCAGAGCUCUGCCUGCAAACCUGCAGCAUCUUUAGCUCCAGUAAUUUAGAUCUGACCAAGCUGUCCAUAGUGAAUUGCUUUGAGUCUCUCCCUGUGGAAAGCAUCCCUUGCUCUUUGAUGGGUCUAUCAGUUCCAAAUGCCUAAGCCUCCUUUCCAGCAGUAGUGAGAGGGCUCAUCUUCCCAAAACAAUCCUUCAGCAAUCCUUGAACAUGCAUCCUGCUGAGAACACACAGCCUGCUAGCCCCACCAAACUGGGGGGCAUAAAUAUUCCCUCCUGCAGUAAUCAGCAUCUGGGGCUCUAGAAGCUGGCCAAGGUGAGAGUGCAUUGUCUGAGGGGAUGGAGCAAAAUGAGAUGAUCUCAGCUGUUUGUUCAGAUUGGAAAACUGUUGGAGAAAUAAUAUUACCAUUUCAUUGCCAGUGGCCUGGUGUGACCUGCUUUGCUGCAAAUGCUUGUCUUUGGCUCACACUUUCAAGUCCUUUCUACAACAUAUUCAUAAAAUUUCAGGGGAAAAAGAUUCAGAUAAAUUUCUGAUGGAUUUCACCAUUAUUUUCAUGCUGAAUUCUCUGAGAAAAGGACACCCUUCAAGAUAGAUCAAGAGGUGAAGAAUCCAUAACUUCCCUUGGCAAUUUGAUCCAAGGACUAACUGCCCUCUCAGUUAAAUUUUAAUUACUAAUUUUUAAUUUGCAUCUCUCUGGCUUUAUCUGCAGUUCUGCCUUUGCUCCCUCCCCACUCUAUUUCUAAUAGUUGGUAGAAAUGCAGUCCCAUAUUUUCUCAGUUGUUUGGGGGGUUUUCUAGCUAAACUGGCUAAGCCUAUUAUGGUUACCAUUGUAAGUAAUAUUGCUAGAGCUUUGGCAAUUUUUAUUCUUUCUAGUAUUUCAUCCAGUUUUUCAAUAUACACUCUGAAAAGUGAAGUGUUGAUUUGUACUAAUAUACUGCAGUUUCAGUCUAGUCAGGAGGACCAUGGACAGAGGAAAAUCCCAUGACCCAUGGGUCCUCUGUUGACAUAUCUAGACAUAUCUAUGACCAUAUUUGCUCUUUUAUUAAGGAUUCACACUGAAAGCUUAUACUUCUCACUUCUGCUUUCCAGCACUCUUGCUGUUUUUUCUGCAAUCAUUGCCUACAUUUUUAUUUCUUGACACUCUGUUUUCACUUGAUUUUAAUAAAAGUUAAUUGAUUUGAAAAGGUAUGACUUAA
Molecule: long non-coding RNA, 1603 nt
Organism: Parus major (Great Tit)
Lineage: Eukaryota; Metazoa; Chordata; Aves; Passeriformes; Paridae
Source: Ensembl